UCCAGGGUAACCUAGUGGACAUGGCAUCUGCCCGGUAAGCUGAACACUGUGGGUUCGAUUCCCAUCCCUGGAA
This 73-nucleotide transfer RNA is filed under the name Cordylochernes scorpioides. Its description in RNAcentral is "tRNA-Thr". It matches the Rfam family "tRNA". From Rfam's summary of the family: Transfer RNA (tRNA) molecules are approximately 80 nucleotides in length. Lineage: Eukaryota; Metazoa; Arthropoda; Arachnida; Pseudoscorpiones; Chernetidae. The record is from RNAcentral.